AGUCAUAUGCUUGUCUCAAAGAUUAAGCCAUGCAUGUCUAAGUUACAAACUUUUUUACACAGUGAAACCGCGAAUGGCUCAUUAAAUCAGUUAUGGUUUAUUAGAUGGUGCUAUCCUACUUGGAUAACUGUGGUAAUUCUAGAGCUAAUACAUGCGACAAAGCUCUGACCCUCGUUGGAAAGAGCGCUUUUAUUAGAUCAAGACCAACCGGUGUCGCUCCUCCCGGGGCUCACCGUCGGAUUGAUGACUCUGGAUAACCAUUGCCGAUCGUAUGGCCCUGUGCCGACGACGCAUCUUUCAAAUGUCUGCCCUAUCAACUUUCGUUGGUAGGUGAUUUGCCUACCAAGGUGUUUACGGGUAACGGGGGAUCAGGGUUCGAUCCCGGAGAGGGAGCAUGAGAAACGGCUACCACAUCCAAGGAAGGCAGCAGGCGCGCAAAUUACCCACUCUUAGCACGAGGAGGUAGUGACGAAAAAUAACAAUACGGGACUCUUUCGAGGCCCCGUAAUUGGAAUGAGUACACUCUAAACCCGUUAACGAGGAUCUAUUGGAGGGCAAGUCUGGUGCCAGCAGCCGCGGUAAUUCCAGCUCCAAAUAGCGUAUAUAAAGCUGUUGCAG
RNAcentral lists this ribosomal RNA (618 nucleotides) under Ototyphlonemertes pallida. RNAcentral describes it as "SSU rRNA". It matches the Rfam family "Eukaryotic small subunit ribosomal RNA", at positions 21 to 618 of the family's 1831-position model. Lineage: Eukaryota; Metazoa; Nemertea; Enopla; Monostilifera; Ototyphlonemertidae. The record is from RNAcentral.